Molecule: ribosomal RNA, 265 nt
Filed under: uncultured bacterium
Lineage: Bacteria
Description: partial 16S ribosomal RNA
Rfam family: Bacterial small subunit ribosomal RNA
Source: RNAcentral
GCAAGUCGAACGAGAAAGGUAUUGCUUGCAAUACUGCGUAGAGCGGCGCACGGGUGAGUAACACGUAGAUAAUCUCCCUUCGUGAUUGGGAUAACUGUUCGAAAGGGCAGCUAAUACCGGAUAAAGUAUGUUUACACAAGUAGACAUAUGAAAGAUUGCCUCUGGGAUAAGCAAUUGUUUGGAGAUGAGUCUGCGGACCAUUAGUUAGUUGGUGGGGUAAAGGCCUACCAAGGCAUCGAUGGUUAGCUGGUCUGAGAGGAUGAUC